RNAcentral lists this ribosomal RNA (497 nucleotides) under uncultured bacterium. RNAcentral describes it as "partial 16S ribosomal RNA". It matches the Rfam family "Bacterial small subunit ribosomal RNA", at positions 28 to 507 of the family's 1533-position model. The record is from RNAcentral.
GAUGAACGCUGGCGGCGUGCCUAAUACAUGCAAGUCGAGCGAACGGACGAGAAGCUUGCUUCUCUGAUGUUAGCGGCGGACGGGUAAGUAACACGUGGAUAACCUACCUAUAAGACUGGGAUAACUUCGGGAAACCGGAGCUAAUACCGGAUAAUAUUUUGAGCCGCGUGGUUCAAAAGUGAAAGACGGUCUUGCUGUCACUUAUAGAUGGAUCCGCGCUGCAUUAGCUAGUUGGUAAGGUAACGGCUUACCAAGGCAACGAUGCAUAGCCGACCUGAGAGGGUGAUCGGCCACACUGGAACUGAGACACGGUCCAGACUCCUACGGGAGGCAGCAGUAGGGAAUCUUCCGCAAUGGGCGAAAGCCUGACGGAGCAACGCCGCGUGAGUGAUGAAGGUCUUCGGAUCGUAAAACUCUGUUAUUAGGGAAGAACAUAUGUGUAAGUAACUGUGCACAUCUUGACGGUACCUAAUCAGAAAGCCACGGCUAACUACGUG